This 526-nucleotide ribosomal RNA is filed under the name uncultured bacterium. Its description in RNAcentral is "bacterial SSU rRNA". It matches the Rfam family "Bacterial small subunit ribosomal RNA", at positions 984 to 1509 of the family's 1533-position model. The record is from RNAcentral.
ACAUCCAGAGAACUUAGCAGAGAUGCUUUGGUGCCUUCGGGAACUCUGAGACAGGUGCUGCAUGGCUGUCGUCAGCUCGUGUUGUGAAAUGUUGGGUUAAGUCCCGNAACGAGCGCAACCCCUUAUCCUUUGUUGCCAGCGGUUCGGCCGGGAACUCAAAGGAGACUGCCGGUGAUAAACCGGAGGAAGGUGGGGAUGACGUCAAGUCAUCAUGGCCCUUACGGCCAGGGCUACACACGUGCUACAAUGGCGCAUACAAAGAGAAGCGACCUCGCGAGAGCAAGCGGACCUCAUAAAGUGCGUCGUAGUCCGGAUUGGAGUCUGCAACUCGACUCCAUGAAGUCGGAAUCGCUAGUAAUCGUAGAUCAGAAUGCUACGGUGAAUACGUUCCCGGGCCUUGUACACACCGCCCGUCACACCAUGGGAGUGGGUUGCAAAAGAAGUAGGUAGCUUAACCUUCGGGAGGGCGCUUACCACUUUGUGAUUCAUGACUGGGGUGAAGUCGUAACAAGGUAGGCGUAGCGAG